GCUGGGUGUGGUGGCACACUCCUGUAAUCCCUGCAGCUCUGGAGGCUGAGGCAGGAGGAUCAUAAGUUUGAGACCAGCCUGGGCAAUUUAGAGAGGCCCUAAGCAACUUAGUGAGACCCUGUCUCGAU
This 128-nucleotide small RNA is filed under the name Marmota monax (woodchuck). The record is from RNAcentral. Lineage: Eukaryota; Metazoa; Chordata; Mammalia; Rodentia; Sciuridae.